UAAUGUAUGGGGAUCUGCCCGAUAGAGGGGGAUAACUACUGGAAACGGUGGCCAAUACCGCAUAAUGUCUACGGACCAAAGCAGGGGCGCUUCGGACCUUGCACUAUCGGAUGAACCCAUAUGGGAUUAGCUAGUAGGUGGGGUAAAGGCUCACCUAGGCGACGAUCUCUAGCUGGUCUGAGAGGAUGAUCAGCCACACUGGGACUGAGACACGGCCCAG
RNAcentral lists this ribosomal RNA (220 nucleotides) under uncultured bacterium. Its description in RNAcentral is "partial 16S ribosomal RNA". It matches the Rfam family "Bacterial small subunit ribosomal RNA", at positions 111 to 334 of the family's 1533-position model. The record is from RNAcentral.